This 429-nucleotide ribosomal RNA is filed under the name Bacteroidota bacterium. RNAcentral's name for it is "Bacteroidetes bacterium partial 16S ribosomal RNA". It matches the Rfam family "Bacterial small subunit ribosomal RNA", at positions 355 to 776 of the family's 1533-position model. Lineage: Bacteria; Pseudomonadati; Bacteroidota. The record is from RNAcentral. RNAcentral also lists the same sequence under 1 other name.
UAGGGAAUCUUCGGCAAUGGGGGGAACCCUGACCGAGCAACGCCGCGUGAGUGAAGAAGGUUUUCGGAUCGUAAAGCUCUGUUGUUAAGGAAGAACGAGUGUGAGAAUGGAAAGUUCAUGCUGUGACGGUACUUAACCAGAAAGGGACGGCUAACUACGUGCUAGCAGCCGCGGUAAUACGUAGGUCCCGAGCGUUGUCCGGAUUUAUUGGGCGUAAAGCGAGCGCAGGCGGUUAGAAAAGUCUGAAGUGAAAGGCAGUGGCUCAACCAUUGUAGGCUUUGGAAACUGUUUAACUUGAGUGCAGAAGGGGAGAGUGGAAUUCCAUGUGUAGCGGUGAAAUGCGUAGAUAUAUGGAGGAACACCGGUGGCGAAAGCGGCUCUCUGGUCUGUAACUGACGCUGAGGCUCGAAAGCGUGGGGAGCGAACAGG